AAAGUAUAAACGCCCCUUCUCGCCUUGGGGUGCGAUUUCAGGGUUCGAAUAGAGCAUCAUCGAUGGAGCCCCAUUCGAUCGGGUGCUCAGUCGCCGACAUAGGCGGCCAUCGGAAUCCUUGGAGGCCCCGAUCGGUGUCAAAUUUGGUGAAAGAAAAACUACCGUGUGGAAAGCUCUCUUUGACAUGAUUUUAGCAGGUAUACAUAAGCUUUUAAACUCAAAAUUAGAUCAUAGUAGUAUGUCCCUUUUUAUCUAAUUGGCUCUGGAUACUUCUCUUCCUGUGCAUUGCUUUGACUUGAAAGUUGAGUGGUUUAACCUCUGCAUGUAAAUUAAGUUGGAACAGAAUCUCAUUGGUAAUGUUGUCUUUACAGAAGUUAUAGGAACUUGUUAAUGGAAGUUACUGUGACAUACUAUUGAUUAGGUGGUAUUUUGUCUCCUUCCAUGUUGAUGCUAAAUAUGCUGCUCCCCUUUGGUGAUGGCAAAUUAUGCUUGUGCCAUGGACCGCCAUUUGUGGACCAUUUCUAUUGACACAUCACUGUUGGUAGAAGGUUAUGCAUCGAAUGUCAUUGUACAUUUCAGAAUGUGGAGCAUCCCAUAAUGGGUCAAUUUCAGCUAUAUUAAUUGAAACAAGACAAUAGCCAUACUGGCGAUGGUGGUUUUUGGGGGUACUCUUGUUUGGACCAAUGGCAAAAUAGGGUCACUUUGAGAUUAGGCAUUCAUAUCUUGAAGGUAUCAUAACCACUUACCCAUUUCUGGAUAUCACAUUGCAGGCUUGUAUGCUUACUUUCAAGGUGAAAUCUUUGCGAACUUUUAUCGGGCCAAAUUAGUUGCUCUUUCAUUAAGACACUGAAAGAAACAUUUUUUGCAGUUUGUGCUAUACUGUUUCAAACUGGUACUGGUCGUCAGUGACGUUAGGUAGCGUUGCAUUUUGAAGCACAGUGCAAACUAAUACUUGGUCCUCACAAGAAGGUUGGUCAGUUGAACCAAGUGUUUCCUUUUCUUUUUCUUUAAUCAAGGUGUGGUUAAAGCCUAACUAAAGCUGUCAUAGUCAAGGCAUAAUUUCCAUUUAUAUUGGUUAACAAUGGUAUGGUCAAGAGAAUUCAUGGAGAUGUAACCAUUCCUAGAUCCUUGAAUAUAUUGUUUUAAUUUCAGACUUUGUUUUUACCUUAUACACGUCACGUUUGUAAAUUUUACUCUUUAAUAAUCAUCUUUAGAGUUUCAAGAAUCUUUCAUCAAAAAUAAACUAUAGAAAAAAGGAUCUCUUUGAACACUUAAUAGGUGAAAUAAUAAAAGUAGGUGAUAAUUUACUUAAAAUAAUUUCAUUCAAAAGCUGUUGGUGUUGGAAAUAGGAACACAGAAAAUGCCAAGGGCAAAGGGUUUUUCUGAAGUGUGGUCCCAAAGACAAAAGGAGUGAAAAUGGCAAAAAAAAAAAAAAAAAACAGAGGUUCAAAUACUAUAUAUUUGAUAUUUUAUUUGUUGCUGUGGUUAAAUGAACUCAAAGGAUUGAUAUGCAUUAUUCUUUGGGUCUUUAGAAAUUAAUAUGCUAUAGCAAAGAAUUUAAACAUUUAUGUGCAAAUCCCGAAGACUUCAGUACUAGGAUGCCAUGAAUGCAAAGAAUAUUUUGGUUCAGAAAAAAAAAUGAUCCUGUUUAUAUGAAAAUAGAAAAAAAUGUACAGGCAUGAAAUGUCUAAAAACUUGACAUUCUCUUUGGUAACUGCCCUUGUUAAAUUUUGGUGUGGCUAGCAGAAUUUAGCAGAUGGGUAGGAUUGUUGUAGCAUCUCUAUGCUCAUUUAGGUUUAUAUCAGUUCUAGAAAAGAGUUUUUUAUACUAAUGCAUUUACAGAUGUUUGAGCUUAAUACUUGAAAUGCUGCACCAGGGUUUUAGAUUAUGUCCGACAUAGAUCAUGAUGCAUGCAUCCCAUGGGACAAAUGUACCUCAUCAUCCUUACUAUUGCUCCUUGUCUUCUUAUCUUGUCUCAUUGAAACCAUACCAGGCAAUUAUAUAAUAGAUUGCAUGAGUAGAAUUCAAGCCAUGUGAUGUGUGUCACUUGCCAUGUGAGUAACUGUACCAUGGCAUGUACCUUGAAGAUUAUACACCUGAGCAUCCGUUAAUGCAUUACUGUCUUUUUCCUUCCAUCUUCUUCUUACAUUUUCUUUGUGAUUAUUGCAGCAAAUGAUCAAAACAGUGGAUUUUGCACCGGAGACGCCCGGACCUUCUCCCCUUCGUACCUGAGGA
Molecule: non-coding RNA, 2235 nt
Organism: Musa acuminata subsp. malaccensis (wild Malaysian banana)
Lineage: Eukaryota; Viridiplantae; Streptophyta; Magnoliopsida; Zingiberales; Musaceae
Source: RefSeq, a predicted model, not a curated record